AUUAAUUACAUUGUAAUGGGAUAUAAUAUCACGAAAAAAAGUGAGCUAAUCAUAUAUUUAUUUAGUAACAAUUGACGUGGUAUAGUGUAGGUAAUAUAUGAUUAGGGGUGAUAGGCCUUUCAAACUUUUGGAUAACUUGUUGCACGUGAAAUGCAUUAAGUACUGAGACAUAUUUAAAAAGUUAAGCUUUUAAAUAUAUAUAAAAAAUAUUAUUAAUUUUACACAAAGAAUAAUUCCUAGUUGUUAAAUGUGCUAAUAUUUAAUUUGUAUAUAUUAUAUUAAUUAACGUGCUAGUUAUAUUGCUAUUAAACUUGAUAAUGUUAAUAUUAGUAGUGUUUUAAGUGUGUUUAAAGGAACUCGGCAAAUUUAUCGCUCAACUGUUUAUCAAAAACAUAGCUGCAUGAUUUAAUGUGCAGUUUUUUCUGCUCCAUGAAUAAUAAAUAGCCGCAGUACUCUGACUGUGCAAAGGUAGCAUAAUCAGUUGGCUUUUAAUUAAAGUCUGGAAUGAACGAAAGCAUGGGUGGUAGCUAUCUUAAACAUAUUUAGUUGAACUUAAUAAGUAAGUGAAAAUGCUUAUAAUACAACAAAAGACGAGAAGACCCUAGAAACUUGAAUUGGUUUUUGUUGGGGCGACAGAAUUACAUUUAACUAGUUUUAUUGAACAAGACGUAAAAAUGAAAGAAUAAGUUACUCUAGGGAUAACAGCAUAAUUUUUAUAGUUUGUGACCUCGAUGUUGGACUAGGUAUUAUACCCUUAAGACAAGGAUAUAAAAUGCUCUGUUCGAGCAAAUAAACCUACAU
RNAcentral lists this ribosomal RNA (801 nucleotides) under Helix kazouiniana. Its description in RNAcentral is "partial large subunit ribosomal RNA". Lineage: Eukaryota; Metazoa; Mollusca; Gastropoda; Stylommatophora; Helicidae. The record is from RNAcentral.